AAGUCGUAACAAGGUUUCCGUAGGUGAACCUGCGGAAGGAUCAUUAACACGUUCCAAAACGUAUCAACCAAACGGUUAAGUGCAAACUUAUUCCCUCAUACAGGGAGCUGUUCAUCUGAAUCUAGUGAUGGGUAAGUCUUCGGGCUUACAGAAGCAGAUGAGCUAGGGUCUCGAGCCCAAAGUUCCUUAUGUGAGGCUUUCCUUUUUUUUUCCCAUCACUUCCAACUAACUAAUUUCACCCCUUUAAACCAUUUGACUAAAUCUUUCGAACGAAGAAAUUUGUUUGGAAUUGUAUAUCUAACACUGUACAACUCUUAGCAAUGGAUAUCUUGGUUCUC
RNAcentral lists this unclassified non-coding RNA (338 nucleotides) under fungal sp. RNAcentral's name for it is "partial internal transcribed spacer region". The stretch from base 1 to 46 matches the Rfam family "Eukaryotic small subunit ribosomal RNA", at positions 1786 to 1831 of the family's 1831-position model. The record is from RNAcentral. Lineage: Eukaryota; Fungi.